Molecule: ribosomal RNA, 462 nt
Filed under: uncultured bacterium
Lineage: Bacteria
Description: bacterial SSU rRNA
Rfam family: Bacterial small subunit ribosomal RNA
Source: RNAcentral
GACGAACGCUGGCGGCGUGCUUAACACAUGCAAGUUGAACGGGCAUACAUGGAAGCUUGCUGAAGUGUAUGUUAGUAGCGGACGGGUGAGUAAUGCAUGAGAAGCUGCCAUUGGGAGGGGGACAACAGUUGGAAACGGCUGCUAAUACCCCGUAUGCCGAAAGGUAAAAGGGAGCAAUCCGCCUGAUGAGGUGCCCAUGUCCUAUCAGCUGGUUGGUGGGGUAACGGCCUACCAAGGCGACGACGGGUAGCCGGCCUGAGAGGGUGAACGGCCACACUGGAACUGAGAUACGGUCCAGACUCCUACGGGAGGCAGCAGUGGGGAAUAUUGGGCAAUGGGGGAAACCCUGACCCAGCGACGCCGCGUGAGGGAAGACGGCCUUCGGGUUGUAAACCGUCUUUUGUUACGGGUAAGAAGGAAGGUAGACGGUACUGUACGAAUAAGUACCGGCGUAACUACGUG